UACAGAGGUCUCAAGCGUUGUUCGGAUUCAUUGGGCGUAAAGGGUGCGUAGGCGGCGCGGUAAGUCGGAUGUGAAAUCUCGGAGCUUAACUUCGAAACUGCAUUCGAUACUGCCGUGCUUGAGGACUGGAGAGGAGACUGGAAUUUACGGUGUAGCGGUGAAAUGCGUAGAUAUCGGGAGGAACACCAAUGGCGAAGGCAGCUCGCUGGGACGUUACUGACGCUGAGACGCGAAAGCGUGGGGAGCAAACAGG
Molecule: ribosomal RNA, 253 nt
Filed under: uncultured bacterium
Lineage: Bacteria
Description: partial 16S ribosomal RNA
Rfam family: Bacterial small subunit ribosomal RNA
Source: RNAcentral